CGCGCGGGCGGUCUCUUAAGUUAGAUGUGAAAGCUUUCAGCUUAACUGAGAGAAGCCAUUUAAUACUGGGGGGCUUGAGGGCAGCAGAGGAAGAUGGAAUUCCCGGUGUAGUGGUGAAAUGCGUAGAUAUCGGGAGGAACACCAGUGGCGAAGGCGGUCUUCUGGGCUGUACCUGACGCUGAGGCGCGAAAGCGUGGGGAGCAAACAGGAUUAGAUACCCUGGUAGUCCACGCCCUAAACAUUGGACACUGGAUAUGGGGGGUAUCGACCCCCUCCGUGUCGAAGCUAACGCUUUAAGUGUCCCGCCUGGGGACUACGGCCGCAAGGUUAAA
This 332-nucleotide ribosomal RNA is filed under the name uncultured bacterium. RNAcentral's name for it is "bacterial SSU rRNA". It matches the Rfam family "Bacterial small subunit ribosomal RNA", at positions 568 to 898 of the family's 1533-position model. The record is from RNAcentral.